RNAcentral lists this long non-coding RNA (4578 nucleotides) under Canis lupus familiaris (dog). RNAcentral's name for it is "lncRNA (ENSCAFG00845000291.1)". The record is from RNAcentral. Lineage: Eukaryota; Metazoa; Chordata; Mammalia; Carnivora; Canidae.
AUGCCAUCUAUUCCCACCACAGAAUCACCGACUCAGAGCUUACUGCACAAGGAAGAAAGGGUCCAGGGGCCGGGGGUGUUUCACCUGUGCCUGCUGGGCGAGACUGGCCCCAGGCUGCUGGCGUGGACCCGGCCGCUCAGCACCUGGUGGUUCACAUGCUGGGCCCCCAGGUGCCAAGCAUUGCUCAGAGGCACAGGUGUCCUCCUUCCCACUUCUCAAAAGCCGGCUCCCUCCACCUCCCUGUUCCUGUCCCCCUCCUCCUGCAGGGACCUUCUCUGUGAACCUCCUGCCUUGGACGGGGUGACAGUCCUUCUCCAUCUGAACCAAAUGGACAUGGUGGAGAGCAAAGACGUCAAACACGUCGUGCAGAACGAACAAGGGCAACUACCGUGAAGAUAAGGCAUUGGCCACAGCAGUAGGAAGAGGAGCCUCUCCGAGUUGAGCUCCGUGAAGGUGCUGCUGCUCCGGGUGACUUUUCCCAUCCGUGACUUGGGAUCUAGCCAGCUCCCUUCCUUGGCUGGCCGUGGGCAGCAGGCAUCCCUCACCAUCACCCAGGCAGGAGAGAGAACAUGGACACCAGGCAUGGGCUUCACCCUGUGCUGGCCUGGAAACGACAUGUCUCUUCUUCCCUUUCUUUCUUUCUCUUUCUUUCUUUCUUUCUUUCUUUCUUUCUUUCUUUCUUUCUUUCUUUCUUUCUUUCUUUCUUUCUUUCUUUUUUUCUUUCUUUCUUUUCUUUCUUUUCUUUUUCUUUCUUUCUUUCUUUCUUUCUUUCUUUCUUUCUUUCUUUCUUUCUUUCUUUCUUUCUUUCUUUCUUCUUCUUCUUCUUCUUUCUUUCUUUCUUUCUUUCUUUCUUUCUUUCUUUCUUUCUUCUUCUUUUAAGAUUUUUUUAAAAAGGUUUUAUUUAUUUAUUCAUGAGAGACACAGAGAGAGGCAGAGACACAGGCAGAGGGAGAAGCAGGCUCCAUGCAGGGAGCCCAAUUUGGGACUCGAUCCCUGGAUCUGGGAUCAUGACCUGAGUCGAAGGCAGAUGCUCAACUGCUGAGCCUCCCAGGAGCCCUUCUUCCUUUCAUAAUUAACUGGACAUAACUCCUCAUGCGGCUCCACCCAGAGGCUUGGGGCUGAGAAGUACCAUCUUAUGUGGGCCUGGACACAGAUUGCUGACUCUUCAGUGAAAAUUCAUAGGUUUUCUGUUAUUAUUUAAUUUCCAUUAAGAAAGAUAAUGUCUUGGAUUCAAACAACAUGGAGAAUCAGAAGGGGGACCCUUGUAGAACACCAGGGUCCUUGCAGGGUUACACCAUCAGUGAGCCAGGCGGCUCCACCACCCCUCUGGCCCGAGGCCUGCAUUUCUCAGCCCUUCCUAGGUCAGGUGCAGAACCUCGCAGCCACAAAGCUUUAUUUCUUGCUCAUGUGACUUGUCGACUGGGCUCAGCCGAAAUCCUGCCCCAGGGGAGUUUGUCCAGGAGACAGCCUCAAGAAGCAGCCCUGAGAUGGGCCGCCUGUGCCAAAGUCAUGAAAUCCCAGGGUGUCUCUGGGUGGAACUCAUUCCUGCUGCUGAAGUGAACCUGAACUAUCGCACAGUAAGGGCAGGUAUGUUAUCCUCCAACAGGGCAUGUGGCAAAUGCCUGGAAGCAUUAAAACAACUACCAAAAUACAGCUUCUCGAAAAGUCUGUACCUGCUUCAGAACCAGGUGGAGAAAAGGGCUUCUCUGAGAAUUUAUGCCAUAUUACCUUCUUCAUAGGAGCUUCGGAGUCUGAAAUCAUAUUCACAUGUCCCGAGAACCAUCAAGCUGAGAAAUUCACUUAAAAAGUUCUGAGUUGAUGGAGCCCAUGGGGAUGAAUGGCAGAAGCAAACAGAAAUACUUUUGUAAGAAUGUGCUUUUCAUGCAGGUGCUAUGAAAUUCCCACAGACAUACCCUGGUCGCAUGCAGGUCUAAAGAGCAAAACCAAGCACCAGCAGCAACCAUGAGGCACAGACGCGAGCGGCAAGAAAGGGGCUCCAUGGAGAGAGUGAACAGCAUUCUCAGGCUGCCAGGAGUUCGGAUGCUAGGCUCUUCAGAAUAUAACCUCGGCAUGUUUAAAAUAUUUGAAUAAACAAGAGAACUGUUUAGAAACAUGAGCAAUGAGAAAGAAAAAAAAAAUGUCCUGGUAGAUUUGGAAAGAAAAAAGAGCUGUCACAACUCAAGAGAAGGUAGUGCAGCAGCGGAUGUAGCACACUUGAGAAACCAGUCCCAUCCACAGACGGAGUGUGCCAAGCAAUGAAGACAUACAGAGAAGAGAGCGAAAAAGCCUAACACACAUCUCUCAGCAUCCUGGAGGACAUAACGCCAUGAGUGGAAAAAGCCACUAUUUACAAACUAAUAGCCAAGAUUCUCCAAAACUGAUGAAAAAUAUGCAUCCCCAGCCUCAGAAAGUCAACAAGCCCUAAGAAGGAGGAAAAAUGACAACCAUCAGAGACAACCAAGUGAAAUUACAAAAUAAUUUAACAAUAUAAAAGGAGAAGGUAUUGCAAAUUGAGAAAAAAGUGGAAUUGUCCACAGAAGAAUGACAAAGACCAUGGUAGCUGAAUUCUCAAGAGGAAAAACAAAAGCCACGAGAAGGUGGAAACAAAACCCUGAAUGUGCUGAGACAAGAAGGCUGCCCACUGGCCAACUGCCACUCAGUGAUGGGGCCAAGGAAACACAGUGUUAGGAAUGAUGAGCGUGUCUUACCAGUGGCCCUUGCUCAAGGAGACUUGAAACAUAUUCUUCAAGAAAGAGGAAAAUGAUCCUCAAGUGGCUUCAGACGCAUUUAGGGGGUGAAGGAGAUGAACAUCACUGUGCAGUACAGCAAUGGUCAUCAUGCCCAAUGAGGGGGAGGUCAGGUGACAAACUGGACGGGAAAACCAGGCAGAGCGAGAAAGGGUGGCCAGUGUUACAAACAUGUUCCAAGACUUUGUAUUGCUUGGGAGGAGGGUAAUAAGAGCAGUUAAUUUUAAAUUCUGUUAAAUAUUAAUAUUUUAGUAAUUUCUAAAUCCAUGAGCCAGGCCUUACGCUUCCCAUUAACUCAAGACUAACUAAUCCUAUGUCUAAUAAGUACCUAAGAUUUAAAAAGAGUUCCCCCCACCCCAAACCCACUGUGUCCACUCUUUGUAAAUGGUGGCCCCCACACAGGCCAUCUGGCUAAACCCCUGGGAGCCAUCUCUCUCUUUCUCUCCUGUCUUCAUGCUACCCUAGUACACUCUGCCAUCUAGACUCCUGCAAGCUUUCUUGCUGGUCUUCCAUCUCUUUUCUUUGCUCUUCAUAUGGCCAGUUCUAAAAAACAGAGUGAUCUUUUUGAAACACAUGUCGAAAUGCGCUAGUGGUUUCUCUCUGACUCAGAUAAAACCAAAGUCCUGUCCUUACCCUCCUAGGCCCAGCAUCACCCAGCCCACACACCCCAUCCCAUCUCUUCUGAACUUACAGCUCAGAUACCUCCCCAGCUAUUGACACUCUAGCAAUGUGGGUCUUCUUGCUCCUCUAACAUGACAAAUGUGUUGCUGUCGGAAGCCUGAUCUUUUUCACUAGAAUGCUUUAUACUCAGUAUUCAAAAGGUGCUAUGGACUGAAUGUUGGUGUCCCCCCCACCAACUCACAAUCUUGAAAUAACCCCCCAAUGGGAUGGUGUUAGGGGUAGGCCCUUUGGGAGGUGAUCAGAUCAUGAGGGUGAAGCCCAUGAAUGGGAUCAGUGCCCUUAUAAGAGGCCCCACAGAGCACCCUCACUCCUUCUGCCCUGAGGACACAGUGAGAGGGUGCUGGCUAUGAACCAGAAAACAGGUCCUCACCAGACACCAAAUCUGCAGGUGACUUGCUCUCAGGUUGCAGCUUCCACAGCUAAGGAAUAGAUGUCUGUUGUUUUAAGUUUCCUGUUCUAUAGCAUUUUGUUAUAGCAUCCUGCACUCCCUGAGACAAAAGGCUGUCGGCUUCACUUCCUCCUGCUUCCUGCUGAAACAUCAUCUUUUCGAAGACCAUCUCCUGAUUAUUCUCUAUGAUUUCACCUUCCAAUUGUUCUCUUUCCCUUAUCCUGUUUUCUUCUCCUUCACAGUACUUACCAUAGGGUAUAUUAUGGUUUUGUUUCUUUUUUUUUAAUGCCUUAUCUCCAUAAUAAAACAUAAAAAUCCAUGAAAGAAGGGGCUUGUCUUUGUUCAUUGCUCUAUCUCCAGAACAUAAAACAGCUCCUGGCAUGUAGCAGGCACUCAAGGGUAACCAUUAAAAGAAUAAAAAUGGAUUAUGUUCCCCCCUUUUUAAGAUGUGAAAAUACUAGGUUAAAAUGUAAUCCAAAGGAUGUCAAGAUAUGGGGGAGAAGCAGAAGCGUGGAAACAGAAACAAAUGGAAAGUAUAAAACAAAAUAUUAAAAAUAAGUUCACAUAGAUCUGUAAUAACAAUAAAUGUAAACAGACUAAACUCACUAGUUAAAAAAUAGAGAUUGCCAAAUUGGAGUUUAAAAUAAUCCAGCUUCAUGCUGUUUCUAAGAGAUACCCCCUAAAUCACAGGGUAUGAGAAGAUUGCAAAAAAAUACAGCAGACCAAUAAAUAGCAAAGACUGUUGGCAUACCCAGAGCAAUA